RNAcentral lists this unclassified non-coding RNA (424 nucleotides) under Hevea brasiliensis (rubber tree). The record is from RNAcentral. Lineage: Eukaryota; Viridiplantae; Streptophyta; Magnoliopsida; Malpighiales; Euphorbiaceae.
GUAAAGAGUUAUGAAAUUAAAAAUUUUCUAUUUGGGGAAGGAAUAAGAGAUUUAUGAUUUGGAGAAGAAAUUAGGCAUUUGAGUUUGAGGGCAAACUGACGAUUUUGAACCGAAAUAAUUCAGUUUAACUUCGUUCUUCUGUUAAAUCGGUUAGGUUCAGUUGCAUUUUUUUUUAUGAAAGAUUUGAUUUUCGGUUUGAGCGAUUUGGUUUAUUUGGUUUGAACCGAAUGUUCAGCCCUAAAUACAAAGGCUCAAGCUCAAAAUUAAAUAAACCCUAGAUUUAGGUAGAUUUGACUUCGAAACCUAAUUGACUUAGUUUGGUGAGCAACAGAUACCCUUGCACGCUGCUAGAACUAUCUCACACCAGGGACUUGAUGUGUUCUCAAGAACCACCCUUUUUGAACCAUGACAAAUCAAAUGGAAA